RNAcentral lists this ribosomal RNA (253 nucleotides) under uncultured bacterium. RNAcentral describes it as "partial 16S ribosomal RNA". It matches the Rfam family "Bacterial small subunit ribosomal RNA", at positions 524 to 776 of the family's 1533-position model. The record is from RNAcentral.
GACGUAGGGGACGAGCGUUGUCCGGAUUCAUUGGGCGUAAAGCGCGCGUAGGCGGUUACGCAAGUCGGUUGUGAAAAUCCGGGGCUCAACCCCGGACCUGCAUCCGAUACUGCGUGGCUCGAGUACUGGAGAGGAGACUGGAAUUUACGGUGUAGCAGUGAAAUGCGUAGAUAUCGUAAGGAAGACCAGUGGCGAAGGCGAGUCUCUGGACAGUUACUGACGCUGAGGCACGAAGGCCAGGGGAGCAAACGGG